UUCUGGCUCAGGAUGAACGCUAGCGACAGGCCUAACACAUGCAAGUCGAGGGGCAGCACAAGGAGCAAUCUGAGGUGGCGACCGGCGCACGGGUGAGUAACACGUAUGCAACCUGCCUGUAAGCGGGGAAUAACCCGUUGAAAGACGGACUAAUACCGCAUAAUACUAAAUUACUGCAUGGUAAUUUAUUUAAACAUUUAUGGCUUACAGAUGGGCAUGCGCAUGAUUAGCUAGUUGGAGAGGUAACGGCUCCCCAAGGCAACGAUCAUUAGGGGUUCUGAGAGGAAGGUCCCCCACACUGGUACUGAGACACGGACCAGACUCCUACGGGAGGCAGCAGUGAGGAAUAUUGGUCAAUGGACGAGAGUCUGAACCAGCCAAGUCGCGUGAAGGGGAAGAAGGAUCUAUGGUUCGUAAACUUCUUUUGCAGGGGAAUAAAGUGCAGGACGUGUCCUGUUUUGUAUGUACCCUGAGAAUAAGGAUCGGCUAACUCCGUGCCAGCAGCCGC
RNAcentral lists this ribosomal RNA (508 nucleotides) under uncultured bacterium. RNAcentral describes it as "bacterial SSU rRNA". It matches the Rfam family "Bacterial small subunit ribosomal RNA", at positions 17 to 518 of the family's 1533-position model. The record is from RNAcentral.